Gasterosteus aculeatus (three-spined stickleback) is the source of this 1303-nucleotide long non-coding RNA. The record is from Ensembl. NCBI's taxonomy places the organism in Eukaryota, Metazoa, Chordata, Actinopteri, Perciformes, Gasterosteidae.
GCUACACAAGUGCAGAUCCUUUCGUGACGCCACACGUUCUGAUAAAUGUCAGUGAUUUUGUGUUUUGCUCCAUACCAAAAACACGCCGUGUAUUCCUAAAAUAAAAAAAACUUCUUCAACUUCCUUUCAGUUUUAUUCUAAUCUCCACAUUUCUUGUUCCGAAAUGGCCUCAUGCUGAUUUCCACCAACACGUCCGGUCUGAUCUUUUCUCCCGUGUUCGGUAUCACUGAGGGCAGUAAAGUUCAGACUUUGACUUCCAAGAACCUUCAAGUUGUUUUAUGGUCGUAUUCAGAAUAUAUUAACAAGCAGCAGGAGCUGCAGCAGCACUGAUCAAACUAAAGCCAGCAGUUAUCGCCAGUCGUCAUUUUGGGGUUUUUUGGCUUGUUGCUUUCUUCUCAUGAAGUUUCCACUGUAGCUGAUGUCUGGCAAACGUUGCCUCGCCUCUUCUGUGCAGAUGGAAAGCUGCGAGGGCCCGUCCUUCUCCCUCCACACACCCAGAUACAUCAGCUGGUGCGUAGACUCCCCCGUACCUGCGACCACAGUCGCUCCAGAAGAACAUUUAAGCCACAACCGGCAGCCGGCCGGUUCAGGAUCAGUUCCGCUUCUCCUCCUGUCGCCACCGGAAACCGACGCCACGUUCUCCCGUCAACGACCGCAGGCGGCGUUCACAGAGCGGAGUGGCGGGGGCGAGGAUGAUGAUGAUGAUGAUGAUGGCAACGAGGAGGGAACACAGUGGAGCAAAGAGGAGGUGGAGGAAAAAACCUUCUUCCUUCCCAGGAGCAGUCCGGUUAUCUCCAGACGCCACAGGCCCGUCUCGUGGCACGGAGAGGACACCGGCAUGUCGGCCCCGUCCAGCUUGGACUCCCCGACUCCUGCUCCCGUUUCGCCGACCGUCCCCAGCACGUCCGCUGGACAGCGGGCCAAGAAGCCGCUCUGCCCGCCUGCCUCCUCGCAGCUCAACCGCCUGCUGGGCCCCUGGGCCCGCCGGCCUUUUGGCGGGCAGCAGGGAUUGGCUGAGGGGGACGAGGGCCGGGGGCCGACCGGCUGUGAUGCCUCGGACUCAUCCGUCCCUUCAACCUCAGCAGAUCAUAGCAAAGAGAAAAGGUGCAGCCGCAUCCCAGAAGUCCCUGCAGACAUCUUUAAGACCAGUUGUGAUCUGGAAAAGGUGCGUUCAAUCAGUUACAGUAGUUUGGUACUUCAGAGCAGCAUCAGGGUCAUCGUGUCGCAGGGGGUAGAGUGGGUGCGCUGGGAACGGCAAGGUUGGUGGUUCGAGUCCCGGCUGCCCCAGUUGAAGUGUCCCUGA